UACAGAGGUGCCGAGCGUUAGGCGGAAUCACUGGGCUUAAAGCGUGUGUAGGCGGACUUCUAAGUACCUUGUGAAAUCCCACGGCUCACCCGUGGAACUGCUGGGUAUACUGGUCGUCUUGAGCCACCUAGGGGCGAGCGGAACAAAUGGUGGAGCGGUGAAAUGCGUAGAUAUCAUUUGGAACGCCAACGGUGAAAACAGCUCGCUGGGGGUGUGCUGACGCUGAGACACGAAAGCCAGGGGAGCGAACGGG
Molecule: ribosomal RNA, 253 nt
Filed under: uncultured bacterium
Lineage: Bacteria
Description: partial 16S ribosomal RNA
Rfam family: Bacterial small subunit ribosomal RNA
Source: RNAcentral